RNAcentral lists this long non-coding RNA (200 nucleotides) under Homo sapiens (human). RNAcentral describes it as "HSALNT0181033". Lineage: Eukaryota; Metazoa; Chordata; Mammalia; Primates; Hominidae. The record is from RNAcentral.
CAUAAAAUGUUAUUGCUAAAAUCCCUAUAAUUACCUCCCAAAAUGGAACAGAAUUGAAAAAAGAAGUAAGAAAGAGAGAAGAAGCGAGGGAGGGAGGGAGGAAGUGAGGGAGGGAGGGGAAGGAAGAAGGGAAGGAAGGUUUACAGGUCUACAAUUCUAGCUGUGCGUAGAAAGUGUAGUCAUGAAAUGACUACUCCAAA